AGGCCAUGAGUAAACCCUCGCCUCUAGGUAUCCGGUAAUCCCCCCAUCCUCUCUCUCUCUCUCCUCGCUGGUCGCCGCCUCUCACCGCAUCUGCUGCCCCUCUCUGCUCUCUUUGUACACCCCUCAUCGGUGACUCUCGCCCAGCCUGGAACUCUUGGCACCAGCGAUCACUGGCGAGCAGGCCAUGGACGGCAGAGGCGGCGCGGUGGAGCUGCGCGAGACCCACCGCCUGACGGGCCACGUCGACCGCGCGUGGGCACUCGCCUGGAACCCAAACCUGGGCGGCGGCGAAAGCCCCGUCCUCGCCUCCUGCGGUGGCGACAAGACGGUACGGAUCUGGAAGCGAGCUCCCGACGGCGGGUGGCAGUGCACGGAUGUGCUCGAAGACACGCACAACCGCACGGUGAGGUCCUGCGCUUGGUCCCCCGACGGAAAGCUGCUGGCCACAGCAAGCUUCGAUGCCACGACGGCCAUAUGGGAGUACUCUGGUGGGGACUUUGAGUGCGUCGCCACACUGGAGGGGCAUGAGAAUGAAGUGAAGAGUGCGUCGUGGAGCCAGUCUGGGUCGCUGCUUGCAACAUGCAGCCGGGACAAGGCUGUGUGGAUAUGGGAGAUGCAGCCAGGGAACGAGUACGAGUGUGUUGCCGUAUUGCAGGGGCACACUCAGGAUGUGAAGAUGGUCCAGUGGCACCCGAUCCUUGAUAUUCUGGUUUCUGUCAGCUAUGACAAUACGAUCAAGGUCUGGGCUGAUGAUGGCAAUGAUGAGUGGCAUUGUGUACAGACAUUAACUGAAGCCGACAACUGUGGUCAUUCCUCAACAGUAUGGUCAAUAUCUUUUAAUCAGAAAGGAAAUAGGAUGGUCACAUGCAGUGAUGACUGUACUUUGAAAAUUUGGGACACAAGUAUUGAUUUGUCGCAACCAGAGACUGGAGAAGGUCAUGAAUCUUGGCAGCAUGUUUCUACUCUAACAGGAUAUCAUGGUCGAACUAUUUUUUCAGCUCAUUGGUCAAGGUUAGCGAGGAUUUUAUUGCCAGUGGGGCAGGCGAUGAUGCUAUCUGCUUAUUCGUUGAGGAGAAGAGUAGUAUGGUUGAGGGCCCUUCGUACAGAUUAAUAUUGAAAAAGGAGAAGGCACAUGACAUGGAUAUAAACUCUGUCAGAUGGUGUCCUCAGGACCCAAGGGUGUUGGCAUCUGCCAGCGAUGAUGGCACGGUGAAAUUGUGGGAGCUGCGAGGGAAUAUACUUGCUUGAAUUUGCAUCCAGUCUGCUGCAAUAUGGUUAUAGUUCUAGCUGUGUACCUUAAGAUCAUAGAAUGGGGUAGGGAUUGCUUUUUCGUUUUCUGCUCUCCAAAACAAUGGUCUCUAGGUUAGCUAAUACUUGUAUCUGCUGAGAGCUUGCAAGGCGAUGAUCUUUUAGCAGAUUUUGAUCCGAGCUAAAGAAGAUAGAUGGCACCCUUACAAGACGCUGAAUUGUGUUUGAAAUGGUAGACACAUGUCAUUUUUACAAAUAAGCAAAGUUACAUCAAAUUAA
Molecule: RNA transcript, 1527 nt
Organism: Lolium perenne
Lineage: Eukaryota; Viridiplantae; Streptophyta; Magnoliopsida; Poales; Poaceae
Gene name: protein CIA1
Source: RefSeq, a predicted model, not a curated record